UAACGACGGGUAGAAACAGAUGGGUACCACUGUCACAUCUACCCGCCUCAUGAUUGGAUGAGUCGAUGAGUUGUGACGUUGUGAUGGUAUCCGGGAUAGGGUUUAAAGGAUGGGUCGGAACGCGGGGUACGUGGUGGUGGGAAAGAAGGGCCAGUUGGGUACAGCUCUCGUCUUCGUGGGUGGAGUGCCUCAACUGGAACGUGGCGGAAGCUGGAGGAGUCGAUGACAGCACAGCUGUAGCAUAAACAAGUCGCAUUGCAGGCCGUUUCCUCGGCGCGUUUGGACCCCCGCUUGUGUAUUUGAAUCGUCUCCACCACUGCUGCUUCACAAAUCAAUCGUUUGUUCCUGAGAAAUGAUAGAGACGCGCUUGUAAAUGACACUACUAUUCCAGCUCUCAACGGUCAUGGACUUCUCCCAUGACUUUAGCUUACAUAGAAUUAAUAAAUUCAAAAAAGAAGUCUUUUUCAUUUUCUUUUUCUCAGCAGAGAGCAUUUUCUUUUUAUUUAUUUACAUAAAACGUGAUUACUCUUACAACCAUCCAUCCUGUCAUCCCGCUGUCUCCACUUCUUGUCUAGGGUUAUCAUCGUGUCAUCGUCUGCCAUGGUCGAGUCCCCGGAGGGAAAGCGGGUGAUGGUCUGUGAGGGCGACCUCGUCAGCAUGUACGCUGUCUAUUUCCUCAUAUCUUCCACUUCCACCUUUCCUUUGUUGUCGCCCUAGAUGAUCUCACCAACGACUGUUAUCGACUCCUUGAGGAUCUCUCCCUAUCGCAUCCAUUGCCGUGAUUGCUCUAGUGUUGCCUUCCCUGUCUAUGCCUUCAUCGGGGGAGUCAAGGGAGGGCGAUCACUGUGGGGGCUAUCCAUCAAGGUCGACAAAUAGGUACGAUAGGGCAGAGGCGAGGCCUUAGCAACACCUCAUUAGGGAUGACCGAGGGUGAUAGACGAGGAUGAGAAAAUAAUCGAUAGAUGAGGGCAAGGGCUGUAAGGCAGAGACAAUCACACGGAUGUGGUGGCCGGCAGCGAGAUGCGAAGGCGGCCACGAUAGGAGGGCGACAAUGAGGUCAACGAUAUUCUGGUGUAGUUCCAUUGAUGAUAUAAGCAACCAUCUUUCCUAAGAUAUCCUAACAAGUCUGUGUUGAAAAGGUCAAGCUACUUCGAUGCCUCUCAUCAUCGACAAUCUAAGUGGUUGAAAGUUGAUAGAGAAUAUUCUGGCAACUAGACCAGACCGUCAGUUGGUUGCCACCAAGACAUCGAUGUGGAAGGCAAGGGAUAAAUCACCACUCCACUCGGCAGUAAGGCGGUAGCCUGUUGGCCACCGCAACCAACAACAAGCGGUAUGACUCGAUCAUCAAGGGCAAUGGGCCCCAGGCAACCAAGUUGACCUGCGCCCCUCUUUGGCCAACCUUAUAGGUGACAACAUGCAAGGGAGCCGAUCGGUGUGACCCAAUUAGCCGUCAGGAUUGACAGGAGAUGCCCCUUUCUAUCACCCUAUGUUGACGACAUGUCGUAGGGGGUCGUACGGACUAGUUAUACAUAUGUGCAAGGGUUAUGGUAGCAUAGAGAUGAACAAUGACUUGUAGGCACUUUAUGUGUAUAAAUUUUAGAUAUGUUAUGUUUGAGUUUUCUUUUGGUUAAAUGUUAUAGUUAUGUACAAGUUUUAAAAAUACUA
Molecule: long non-coding RNA, 1665 nt
Organism: Musa acuminata AAA Group (dessert banana)
Lineage: Eukaryota; Viridiplantae; Streptophyta; Magnoliopsida; Zingiberales; Musaceae
Exons: 3
Source: RefSeq, a predicted model, not a curated record